This 85-nucleotide transfer RNA is filed under the name Geminicoccaceae bacterium. RNAcentral's name for it is "tRNA-Leu". It matches the Rfam family "tRNA". From Rfam's summary of the family: Transfer RNA (tRNA) molecules are approximately 80 nucleotides in length. Their secondary structure includes four short double-helical elements and three loops (D, anti-codon, and T loops). The record is from RNAcentral. Lineage: Bacteria; Pseudomonadati; Pseudomonadota; Alphaproteobacteria; Geminicoccales; Geminicoccaceae.
GCCCGCUUGGCGGAACAGGUAGACGCACGGGACUUAAAAUCCCGAGGCUUCGGCCGUGCCGGUUCGAGUCCGGCAGCGGGCACCA